AUAUAAGUGAGGGUGGGGUCAGAUUGUUCCCUGAACCACACUCUGUUAGCAUUACCGAGCAGGGUGCUCCGUCCACCAGCACCGUCGGCUGAAAAGCAUGGAUACCAGAAAAGGAGUCUUUCCUUCAUCUCCUAAAUGCUAAGUUGAUGUCCUUCCCUAGAAGUCUUUCCAUUAAUUAAGUUGGCCUGAAGGUCAUAAACCAUGAUCGAUAUGGAGGCUGGUUGCUGCACGGUGCUAAUUGACAUCCCCAAAGAGGAAUAGUGUCAACAAUCAAUAGAGAAGAGCAGGACACUGGUAGACUCAUGGCUUUGAUUUCUGAAAAGGCUCUCCAAGGUGCAGCCACCAUGAUCUCGGCAGGCUGAUGAUGGAAGAGAAAGAAGCCGGGAGACCCUGUGCUCCAGCAUCCCUGGAC
Molecule: long non-coding RNA, 412 nt
Organism: Budorcas taxicolor (takin)
Lineage: Eukaryota; Metazoa; Chordata; Mammalia; Artiodactyla; Bovidae
Exons: 3
Source: RefSeq, a predicted model, not a curated record